AGGCAAGUUGGUGAGCUUUGGUGAAGCAAACAACCUUACAUGAUGUGAGUGGUCCUUGUGCCCAGUUGAAGCCGUGAGUAAAACAAAGUCUGACAUAGCCUUGAGCAAGAAAGAACUCUACCUCCAGACAACUUCGGGGGCAGGUGCAAAGUUGGUGCUGCCCUGGGUCUCUAGCUGCCAGCUUCCCCGACAGGCUUCGGGUGCCCAUAGCCCCACAAUCAAGGAAUCCAGUUUCUAAAAUUAACCUACCUCUCUCUUUUCCCCUUCCUCCUCCCACUCUUCCUCGCUCUUCCUCCCGCUAGUUCUGUGGCCCUGCAGACUCCUGACUGAACUAACACAGUUGGGGAGAAUAAGCCGUAAAAAGGGGAGCUUUUCUGUCCUUUCACUUUGCACUGAUGCCCCAUCCAUCCUCCCUUUCUGCUUGCCAUGGUAAAUGGUGUCCGACGUAACACAGAUGCACUGUGCACUGGAGAGGCAGAGCAUCCUGCCUUCCACAGCCGUGCACACCAGUCCCUGUGCACAAGUGGCCACCCACCCAGCGAAUCGACGUGGUGUGCUUAUCAAAAUCUGUGUGUCUGUGGGCCAGAGCCAAAUCCAGGAUAUUGACGGAUGUCCUUACUGGUAAGGCUGUCUGGGACUCUCAGUGAAAAGACCGGCCAUGUGUGCCUCCAGAUGGUACUAGAUCCAGGUGCUAGAACAAGAUGAGCAAGUGAAUCUCUCAUACUUCAGAUCCUUCAAGGAUCUUGAAAAGAGCGCUGGAAUCAAAGGCGAACGCCACCACUGCCCGGCCUUGUUUUGUUUUUAAAGACAGUUUUCGGCACACAGAGAGGCUGUGAGUUAGGACGGGGGUUUCUUGCCGUUGCCACCAUUCUCAUUGACACGUUAUGCUGCACACAGCAGAGCCCCAUCCUGAAUGCCCAGCGGUGCCCACAGCCAGGAGGAGCAUUCGAUGUGUGAUGACUCAUCUCGUGCAUCAGACGCUCUCUAAAGUUCCCACAGAUUAUACCAUGGCUUAGUGAGUGCGAUUCUAAGACAGUUCCAAAAGACUUUUCAAUCCGUGGGAGUUUCAAAGUGGAUUCUCAGACAAACAUGGGGAGGACUGAGGCAGGCUUGGACACGCACAGAAUCAGACAACGAUGGGCUGAGGAAGUGGCUCAGCGGUUAAGAGCACUGUCUGCUCUUCCAAAGGUCCGGAGUUCAAAUCCCUGCAACCACAUGGUGGCUCACAACCAACUGUAAUGAGAUCUGGCGCCCUCUUCUGGAGUGUCUGAAGACAGAUACAGUGUACUUACAUAUAGUAAAUAAAUAAAUCUUAAAAAAAAAAAAAA
This 1328-nucleotide long non-coding RNA is filed under the name Mus musculus (house mouse). RNAcentral's name for it is "cDNA sequence BC023486". Lineage: Eukaryota; Metazoa; Chordata; Mammalia; Rodentia; Muridae. The record is from RNAcentral.